CCACCGCCCUCGCUGGCCCAGGAACCCCCGCAGAGGCUAACGCGCACAUGGCGCGGUGGAGCUCGUACCCGAGGCCAAGCGUGGCCGGAGGCGGAUCGGGCGGAGCGCGAGGAUGAAGUGCACGCGCCUGGACCACUGUUGGGAAAAGUGGCCUCUCCUCGCUCCACGCUUUGCUGCCGACUCCCCCGGAGCCCUCCCACUGCGCUCCCGUUGUCUGGCCGAGGGCCCAUGUCGCACAGAGGUGGACACCUGCCCUCGUAAACAUUAUGUGGGAGAUUUGAGGCUCAGGAGGAUAGGAAAAUCCAGAGCAGAGCCUGGGGGCCAAGAGCCUGAGGGACAGUGACUGUCGUAGCUGGGAAACUGCAAAGCGCUGAGGCCAAAGGGAGGACCCAGCCCUAGAGGACUGUGGCCCUCGGUGGGGAAGAGGGACCUCACAAGGAAAAGAAGAGUGAGGAGAGAGAAAUCUCGAAGCAGACGUGGAUGUGUGCUCUGACCAGAGCUCAGAGCACCAAGAGAAGCAUCCACCUGGGGUGCAGGAGGAGACCCCUUUCCCUCACCGCAGAGACAGUCCCUGUGCAAGCCGGGCGACACCAUGGGGCUGGUGGCUCAGCUCUCAGCAGAGCCACUCCAUGUCCAGCGUGAGGUCCACAGAGUCAGGAUGGUGGACGCAGACAGUGUCAACCCCAGUGGCUGCUCCACCCUUUCGGGCCUGGGGAGAGAAGGACAUGUGUAUGGGGACAAAACAGAGGGACAUCUCUGGUUGGACAUCCGUUCAUCAGCCCACUUGUAUGUGGAUGCCUGCUCAUCUGCUCUCCUGGUCCACGCAUGAGCUGCUCACAAGGGAAGGGACAUCUUCAAGCCACAAAGGACCAGAGUGAAUGUUUAGAGUCAGGCGACCAUCGGUUCAAGUGACAAACCUUAGUUCUGUCACUUGUUGAAUAAUCAAUAUAAACACCUGUGACUCAGUUCUGCCAUCUUUGCAGUGUGAGUAAUGCUGUAACCACCUAUUAGAAUGUGAUGGGAUUCAGAAAUGAUUGAUACAAAAUACUCAG
RNAcentral lists this long non-coding RNA (1052 nucleotides) under Equus caballus (horse). RNAcentral describes it as "lncRNA (ENSECAG00000056456.1)". Lineage: Eukaryota; Metazoa; Chordata; Mammalia; Perissodactyla; Equidae. The record is from RNAcentral.